UGGGGAAUAUUGCACAAUGGGCGCAAGCCUGAUGCAGCAACGCCGCGUGAACGAUGAAGGUCUUCGGAUCGUAAAGUUCUGUUGCAGGGGAAGAUAAUGACGGUACCCUGUGAGGAAGCCCCGGCUAACUACGUGCCAGCAGCCGCGGUAAUACGUAGGGGGCUAGCGUUGUCCGGAAUUACUGGGCGUAAAGAGCUCGUAGGCGGUUUGUCACGUCGUCUGUGAAAUCCUAGGGCUUAACCCUGGACGUGCAGGCGAUACGGGCUGACUUGAGUACUACAGGGGAGACUGGAAUUUCUGGUGUAGCGGUGGAAUGCACAGAUAUCAGGAAGAACACCGAUGGCGAAGGCAGGUCUCUGGGUAGUAACUGACGCUGAGGAGCGAAAGCAUGGGUAGCGAACAGG
Molecule: ribosomal RNA, 404 nt
Filed under: Verrucomicrobiota bacterium
Lineage: Bacteria; Pseudomonadati; Verrucomicrobiota
Description: Verrucomicrobia bacterium partial 16S ribosomal RNA
Rfam family: Bacterial small subunit ribosomal RNA
Source: RNAcentral